GGUUCCGUAGUGUAGUGGGUACCCGCUCGCUUCACAUGUGAGAGAUUCUAGGUUCGAGCCCCAGUAGAAUCA
RNAcentral lists this transfer RNA (72 nucleotides) under Dreissena polymorpha. It matches the Rfam family "tRNA". Rfam says of the family: Transfer RNA (tRNA) molecules are approximately 80 nucleotides in length. Their secondary structure includes four short double-helical elements and three loops (D, anti-codon, and T loops). Further hydrogen bonds mediate the characteristic L-shaped molecular structure. tRNAs have two regions of fundamental functional importance: the anti-codon, which is responsible for specific mRNA codon recognition, and the 3' end, to which the tRNAs corresponding amino acid is attached (by aminoacyl-tRNA synthetases). tRNAs cope with the degeneracy of the genetic code in two manners: having more than one tRNA (with a specific anti-codon) for a particular amino acid; and 'wobble' base-pairing, i.e. permitting non-standard base-pairing at the 3rd anti-codon position. The record is from Rfam by way of RNAcentral. Lineage: Eukaryota; Metazoa; Mollusca; Bivalvia; Myida; Dreissenidae.